RNAcentral lists this long non-coding RNA (739 nucleotides) under Pan troglodytes (chimpanzee). RNAcentral's name for it is "lincRNA". The record is from RNAcentral. Lineage: Eukaryota; Metazoa; Chordata; Mammalia; Primates; Hominidae.
AUAGUUCCUAUUUUAUAAAUGGAGAGAUGAGGCCCUGAGAGCUAUUACAUGGUAGAACCGGGAUUUGGAUCCAAGUUUGUCUGGUCUGGAGUCCAUGUACUUUCUAUUCUGCACUACUGCUUCUGAAGAGUGGAUUGACAAUUAUUCUCUGGACUUUUUGGUAACCAAGAACUUCUAGCAACUAACCCUGGCAUGACCACCAGAAUCUGCAGGGCUGAGAGAAGAAAGAAAGGCAAAAGUGGAUGAAUGCAGCUGAAGAUGCUGUGGAACUCCUAUCACAUUCCAAGUGCUGUGUUGAUAUCUGGAGAUAUAGACAAGAUCGAAGCAGAUGCAGUCUUUCACAUGAAUAUUUGAAUCAGGUAGUAUGUUCCCCAAAUUAGCAAAGUAUCUCCCAGAUUUUUUCUUUGAUGAUAUAUUUGAAAUCCUAAUGCUGAAAGUUAAAUUAUCAGGGUUUUAAAACUAGAAGCAGUCAUUAUCAGAAUUUUAUAUACUAUUUAUUUUUAAGAACAUAAUUUGACUGUUUAAGUCUUAUUAUAAUUUUAAGUGAAGUACUUUGGGCAGUCAUAAAUAAAGUAAUGGGCAGGUAUUUAGUAUUCAUAUUGUGUGGAUUCAUAUCCAUAUUCUGCCACUCAGUAUAUCUGGGAUUUUGAUGAAUGAUCAAACUCUCUGAGCCUCAGUUUUCUAAUCUGUAAAGCAGAAAUGAUAAUGGUAUGUAGUGAUAAUUAAACAAUUUACUAGU